AUUGAACGCUGGCGGCAGGCUUAACACAUGCAAGUCGAGCGGAGAUGAGGUGCUUGCACCUUAUCUUAGCGGCGGACGGGUGAGUAAUGCUUAGGAAUCUGCCUAUUAGUGGGGGACAACAUUCCGAAAGGAAUGCUAAUACCGCAUACGUCCUACGGGAGAAAGCAGGGGAUCUUCGGACCUUGCGCUAAUAGAUGAGCCCAAGUCGGAUUAGCUAGUUGGUGGGGUAAAGGCCUACCAAGGCGACGAUCUGUAGCGGGUCUGAGAGGAUGAUCCGCCACACUGGGACUGAGACACGGCCCAGACUCCUACGGGAGGCAGCAGUGGGGAAUAUUGGACAAUGGGGGGAACCCUGAUCCAGCCAUGCCGCGUGUGUGAAGAAGGCCUUAUGGUUGUAAAACACUUUAAGCGAGGAGGAGGCUACUGAGACUAAUACUCUUGGAUAGUGGACGUUACUCGCAGAAUAAGCACCGGCUAACUCUGUGCCAGCCGCCGCCGUAA
RNAcentral lists this ribosomal RNA (501 nucleotides) under uncultured bacterium. RNAcentral's name for it is "partial 16S ribosomal RNA". It matches the Rfam family "Bacterial small subunit ribosomal RNA", at positions 30 to 523 of the family's 1533-position model. The record is from RNAcentral.